GGAUGUGAGGGCAAUCUGGCUGCAACAUCUGUCACCCCAUGUGUCACCAGGGUUAAUUUGGCUGACGUGGCUGUUUAGGUAGUGUCUCCUGCCUCCCUCACCUCCCC
RNAcentral lists this small nuclear RNA (107 nucleotides) under Mesocricetus auratus (golden hamster). RNAcentral describes it as "7SK RNA". It matches the Rfam family "7SK RNA", at positions 1 to 108 of the family's 331-position model. From Rfam's summary of the family: 7SK was discovered as an abundant small nuclear RNA in the mid-70s but a possible function has only recently been suggested. Two independent studies have found that 7SK RNA binds the CDK9/cyclin T complex (known as elongation factor P-TEFb). Lineage: Eukaryota; Metazoa; Chordata; Mammalia; Rodentia; Cricetidae. The record is from Rfam by way of RNAcentral.